AAGGGCACCACAAGAACGCGUGGAGCACGUGGCUUAAUUUGACUCAACGCGGGAAAUCUUACCGGGUCCGGACACACUGAGGAUUGACAGGCAAUAUUAAUACGUGUUUCGGCGCGUAUUAUGUUAAAUAUGCUAGUCCUUUCAUGAUUAUGUGAUAGGUGGUGCAUGGCCGUUCUUAGUUCGUGGAGUGAUCUGUCUGCUUAAUUGCGUUUCACUAAGAGUCUAUCAAUACGUGCGUUGCGGCACUUUGACCCCUCUCUGAGCGCGCGUCUUAGUUGCUUAGCUCGCACAAUUAGGCUCUGAAAGCAACGAACGUGACCG
This 321-nucleotide ribosomal RNA is filed under the name Foraminifera environmental sample. RNAcentral describes it as "SSU rRNA". It matches the Rfam family "Eukaryotic small subunit ribosomal RNA", at positions 1160 to 1422 of the family's 1831-position model. Lineage: Eukaryota; Foraminifera. The record is from RNAcentral.